AGAACGAACGCUGGCGGCAUGCCUAAUACAUGCAAGUCGAACGAACACUUCGGUGUUAGUGGCGCACGGGUGCGUAACGCGUGGGAAUCUGCCCUUGGGUUCGGAAUAACAGUUGGAAACGACUGCUAAUACCGGAUGAUAUCGAAAGAUCAAAGAUUUAUCGCCCAGGGAUGAGCCCGCGUAGGAUUAGCUAGUUGGUGAGGUAAAGGCUCACCAAGGCGACGAUCCUUAGCUGGUCUGAGAGGAUGAUCAGCCACACUGGGACUGAGACACGGCCCAGACUCCUACGGGAGGCAGCAGUAGGGAAUAUUGGACAAUGGGCGCAAGCCUGAUCCAGCAAUGCCGCGUGAGUGAUGAAGGCCUUAGGGUUGUAAAGUCUACUUUUACCCGAGUAUGAUAAUGACAGUAUCGGAGAACUAAGCCCCGGACUAACUCCGUGCCAGCGACGCCGAC
RNAcentral lists this ribosomal RNA (453 nucleotides) under uncultured soil bacterium. Its description in RNAcentral is "bacterial SSU rRNA". It matches the Rfam family "Bacterial small subunit ribosomal RNA", at positions 26 to 522 of the family's 1533-position model. The record is from RNAcentral.